This 398-nucleotide ribosomal RNA is filed under the name uncultured bacterium. RNAcentral's name for it is "partial 16S ribosomal RNA". It matches the Rfam family "Bacterial small subunit ribosomal RNA", at positions 523 to 918 of the family's 1533-position model. The record is from RNAcentral.
AUACGUAGGGUGCGAGCGUUGUCCGGAAUUACUGGGCGUAAAGAGCUCGUAGGUGGUUUGUCGCGUCGUCUGUGAAAUUCCGGGGCUUAACUCCGGGCGUGCAGGCGAUACGGGCAUAACUUGAGUACUGUAGGGGAGACUGGAAUUCCUGGUGUAGCGGUGAAAUGCGCAGAUAUCAGGAGGAACACCGGUGGCGAAGGGGGGUCUCUGGGCAGUACCUGACGCUGAGGAGCGAAAGCAUGGGUAGCGAACAGGAUUAGAUACCCUGGUAGUCCAUGCCGUAAACGGUGGGCGCUAGGUGUAGGGGUCUUCCACGACUUCUGUGCCGUAGCUAACGCAUUAAGCGCCCCGCCUGGGGAGUACGGCCGCAAGGCUAAAACUCAAAGGAAUUGACGGGG